UGUAUGGGGAUCUGCCCGAUAGAGGGGGAUAACUACUGGAAACGGUGGCUAAUACCGCAUAAUCUCUUAGGAGCAAAGCAGGGGACCUUCGGGCCUUGCGCUGUCGGAUGAACCCAUAUGGGAUUAGCUAGUAGGUAAGGUAAUGGCUUACCUAGGCGACGAUCCCUAGCUGGUCUGAGAGGAUGAUCAGCCACACUGGGACUGAGACACGGCCCAGACUCCUACGGGAGGCAGCAGUGGGGAAUAUUGCACAAUGGGCGCAAGCCUGAUGCAGCCAUGCCGCGUGUAUGAAGAAGGCCCUAGGGUUGUAAAGUACUUUCAGUCGGGAGGAAGGCGUUGAUGUUAAUACCA
RNAcentral lists this ribosomal RNA (351 nucleotides) under Escherichia coli. Its description in RNAcentral is "bacterial SSU rRNA". It matches the Rfam family "Bacterial small subunit ribosomal RNA", at positions 114 to 468 of the family's 1533-position model. Lineage: Bacteria; Pseudomonadati; Pseudomonadota; Gammaproteobacteria; Enterobacterales; Enterobacteriaceae. The record is from RNAcentral.